RNAcentral lists this ribosomal RNA (408 nucleotides) under uncultured bacterium. RNAcentral's name for it is "partial 16S ribosomal RNA". It matches the Rfam family "Bacterial small subunit ribosomal RNA", at positions 28 to 526 of the family's 1533-position model. The record is from RNAcentral.
GACGAACGCUGGCGGCGUGCUUAACACAUGCAAGUCGAACGAAGUGGCGAACGGGUGAGUAACGCGUAAUCAACCUGCCCUUAAGGGGGGGACAACAGUGGGAAACGACUGCUAAUACCGCAUACUGAUGGCGGGGAUGGCGUGUUAGUAGCUCGGUGGAGGGGUAACGGCCCGCCAAGGCGGUGACGGGUAGCAGGCGUGGGCGGGUGACCGUGCACAUGGGGACUGGGAUACGGCCCAGAGGCCUGCGGCAGGCAGCAGUAGGGGACAGUGGACACGGGGCGAAAGCCGGAUGCAGCGACGUCGCGUGGGGGAUGUAGGCUUUCGGGGUGUAAACCUCUUUCGCGAUCGAACGGGUAGGUGGAGAAGAAGCGCCGGCUAACUACGUGCCAGCAGCCGCGGUAAUUC